GUUGUACUUGUAUACAAACUCCUUUCUAAAUUUUAUAAUCGGGAUCGAUCUCUCUUUCUCUGAAACAUUUUGGAAACUUCUAGGUAAGGCUUCUUCAUUCCAAAGCAAGACCACAAUUUUUCUUCAUGGCCACCGGAGAGGAGAAACCUGUUAUGGUCGUCGGUAUCGACGAAAGCGAGCAGAGCACUUACGCCUUGGAGUGGACCCUCGAUCGUUUCUUCACUCCCUACGCUCCUAAUUUUCCUUUCAAGCUCUUCAUCGUCCACGCCAAACCUAACGCCGUCUCUGCCGUUGGUCUUGCUGGUCCCGGUACCCUCUUUUGAUUGACUAGCUAGGAACUGUCUUCUUCUAUCUAGGUUUCUCUGUUUCAGAUAUAUAUCAUUUGCGGUUUCUUUUUUCUUUUUAGGAGCUGCGGAGGUUCUGCCUUAUGUUGAUACCGAUUUGAAGCAUAUUGCUGCCAGGGUUAUCGAGAUGGCUAAAGGUAUCUGUCAGAGCAAAUCGGUAAGUAUUCACUCAUUAAUUCUUCGACUAUUUCAUAAAGGAUAAUUAUAAGAGAGCGUAUACAAUGAUGUUUCAAUGUUUGAUGAGCUAUAUUUGUUUUGAAUCUCUACAUCAUUCAAGCUUAGAUACUCCUUAUAGUUUUUUCCUUCUUUACUUUAUAAUUGAUCUUUUAUAUUUUUUUGUUUUUUUUUGUAAAAGUAAUUUAUCUAUUUUUAGUUACGUACUAGCUUCUUCUCAAUCAUUGAUUCUCUAGGUUUGUGCCGUGUAGGUUAAUGGCGCUAUGUUCGAAGUUUUUGAAGGUGAUGCAAGAAGUAUACUGUGCGAUGUUGUGGAUAAACAUCAUGCUUCUCUUCUUGUCGUGGGAAGCCAUGGUUAUGGAGCUAUCAAGAGGUAUAUAAUAUCUUUGUGUAUUUAAUUAUUAUAAUACUCACAAUCAUCAAUCUUGACUAUUUUUCUCGGCUUUAAUUCCCGACUCCUAUCACAGGGCGGUUCUAGGGAGCGUGAGCGACUACUGUGCUCAUCAUGCUCAUUGCUCGGUGAUGAUCGUGAAGAAGCCUAAGAUCAAGCACUGAUGAUCACCUAAACCCAAGCUGUUAUAUCAGUCAAAGCAAAGCAAAGUCUCAUCUGCAUAGUCGUCAGUUUCGGUGAAAUGAAAUAAAAUUGUGAAACGAUCCAAUCUAUAUAUUAAUAUUCGUGUGUAAAUUGGUUAUUGUAUUCAUAAACUAUUUUAUAUAUUGACGUUUGAUAAUACUAUUGUGGUUAUCUGCUUACCUACAAACAAGUAAACAAAAUAAGUUUUAAAAAACCUCAUAUGAGUGAGAAGACUGUUAUGGAUGAAUAUUGUUGGCUAAUGAUUCAGGGACAUGGAUAUAUCCGAAUAAAAUAAAAAAAAGAGAAGUGUUGAGACCAAUGUCAUUGUCUGGUUUUCAACAAGGGGAGGCAUGAUGACAUAUAUGUGAAAAAAGAUUAUUACCGCAUCGGCUUUCGAAAAGGCAGACUAAUUCGGAGAGAGAGAGAGAGCGACUGAGAUGAUUUUUGUUUGACAUUUUUCGAAAACGAGAUUUUUUUUGUUGUGUUCCGUCCGAUUGAGGCUUGGUGGAGACAUGGCCGGAGCUAAUGAUGAUGAUUAUGAUCGUAACAACCGCCGGAUUGCUAACUGAUAUAUUUCAAGGACAAAGCUAAUACCCAUUUCUGGGUAUGCAAAUAUGGCUAACCCACUAUAAAUACACAUUCUUGUUUUGAGUCCUGAGGCAUUCAUCACCUCUCUUCUUCUUCAUCCUUCUUCUAUAUUUUUUCUUUGGUUUAAGCUGGGAAAUGGAUGUACUGAAGUUUGAUUACAACCACAAGGGUGACAAUGCAUUAAAGGAGCUCGAGAGGAUCACCUCGAAGGCUGCUGAAGUCCAAGAUAAUAUGUUAAGUGGGAUCUUAGAAAGAAACAAGGACACACAGUACUUGAGAAAGUACAUGAAAGGCUCUAAGGACGUUAUGGAGUUUAAACGCUCUGUGCCAGUCAUCACGUACAAAGAUGUAUGUCCUUACAUUCAGAGAAUUGCAAAUGGAGAAGACUCUUCUCUGAUUACUGGUCAUCCUAUCACUGAGAUACUAUGCAGGUCGAUUUUUAUUUCUAGCCUGAAUCUCUUUCUUAGUAACAGCCUCCCCUUCCUUUGUGUUUGAAUAUAAAUUUGUGUAUGGCUAAAUAAAUGUAUCUGCUUGCUUUCAUGUUGCAGCUCAGGAACUUCUGGUGGAGAGCCGAAGCUAAUGCCAACCAUUUCGGAAGAUCUUGAUCGGCGCACCUUUGUCUACAAUCUUAUCAAUCCAAUCGCGAACAAGUUAGUACAAUGUUUCCUGUUAAUAUUCAGUCCUGAUAUACUUUAACAUCCUCCUUGUUGCUCUUAUAAGAGUAGUGAUUAGUGAAGAAGGAAUUACAUCUUCCAUGCACAUGAAUAUUUACUUGAUAAAAAACAAAGUGGCUGAUCUCAUAUUCCAUAAAAGAACCACUAGGACUGUUCCUGUAGUUGUAGGAUAGUGGAUAUGUCUCAAAAUCUGACCUAUGGAAGUGGAAGUACACAUCACAUCACAAUUCCUCCAUGUUAUUAUCCACUGGAAACAUUUAAUAAAAAAGGAAAAAAAUUAAAAAGGUUAACGAUAGGCUUCAAUGUGAAUAUGGCUUCAUAAUCAUUGUAGGCACUAACAUAUGGAAUCUGGAUACACAUGCAUAGAUGUACUGGCCGUGGUACCAAUAAAUCUUCAUAGUAGGUUGCUCACUAAGGAAGUUUGCUUUCUGCUUUGAGUUUUGUGUUUGCUUUUUGUGGAAAUUAAGUGGUAUCAUGUCAUGUACUAUAAAGUUUGCAUCCAUCAUCUUUUAUCCACACGCCAUUUUGAUGUCCCCACCCAAAGAUUCUCUGAGAAUUUUGAACAGCACUUACUAAACCUCAAGAAUCUUUUCAUAUCCACUACUGAUUUUUCUUUUCUUUCAUUUUACCUCUUUUACCAUCGUCUCUCUUUACUAUGUUUUUGACUGAGAUUUAUUAUAUGUAUUACUGACAGGUAUCUAGAAGGACUUGACAAAGGAAAAACAAUGUACCUAAACUUCGUCAAAGCUGAAACAUCAACUCCUUGUGGUUUACCAAUCAGAACUGUCCUCACUAGCUACUACAAGAGCAAACAUUUCCAGUGCCGACCUUACGAUCCAUUCAACGACUUAACCAGUCCCAUCCAAACCAUCCUUUGUGAAGACAGCAACCAAAGCAUGUACUGUCAGUUACUUGCCGCUCUUAUUCACCGUCACAAAGUCAUGCGUCUCGGAGCUGUCUUCGCUUCAGCCUUUCUCCGUGCAAUCUCUUAUCUCGAGCGAAAAUGGAGCCAGCUCUGCCAAGACAUCCGCACCGGCCAUCUCAGUCCCAUGAUCACCGAUCCAGGAUGCCAGACGGCUAUGACUUCUCUUCUAGCCUCGCCAAAUCCUGACUUAGCUGACGAGGUUGAAGAAAUCUGUGGACGCCCGUCGUGGAAAGGGAUUCUGUGUCAACUCUGGCCUCAAGCAAAGUUCAUUGAAGCAGUAGUGACAGGCUCAAUGGCUCAGUACAUACCAGCGCUUGAGUUCUUUAGCCAAGGCAAGAUUCCGUUGGUUUGUCCAAUGUAUGCUUCCUCCGAGACUUACUUUGGAGUCAACGUGAAGCCACUCUCCAAGCCAUCUGACGUCGUUUUCACGCUCUUGCCCAACAUGUGCUACUUCGAGUUCAUUCCUCUCGGCAAAAACGGAACUCUCUCUUUUGACGUAGAGGACGAAGAAGUCGUCCCCUGUGACAAAGUGGUUGACUUGGUCGACGUCAAACUCGGACGCUACUAUGAACUCGUCGUCACAACCUUCGCAGGUAAAGAAACUGGUGGCAUUGUCUUCUCCUUUUUAGUCAGCUCUGACUCUUGCAUGGAAACAGGAUUGUACCGUUACAGAAUCGGCGAUGUCCUUCAAGUGGCGGGGUUCUACAACAAAGCACCACAGUUCAGGUUUAUCUGCAGGAGAAACGUGGUUCUAAGCAUCGACUUAGACAAAACCAACGAGGAAGAUCUUCACAGGAGCAUCACGCUGGCCAAGAAGAAGCUUGAAAACAAGGCAUUCCUCGCGGAGUACACGAGCUACGCGGAUACUUCAUCAGUGCCAGGUCACUACGUGCUCUUCUGGGAGAUCCAAUGGCUCGAACCUGAUGAUGAGGAGGAGAAGCUGCUGAUGGAAGAGUGUUGCAUUGCGGUUGAGGAAGAGCUGGAUUACAUAUACAGGCAAUGCAGGAAGAGAGAUAGAUCGGUGGGGCCUUUAGAGAUAAGAGUGGUGAAGCCAGGGACGUUCGAGAAGCUGAUGGAUAUGAUAAUAAGCCAAGGAGGGUCGCUUAAUCAGUACAAAACGCCGAGAUGUGUUAAGUCCAACAGUGCUAUGCUCAAGCUCUUGGACGGCCACGUGACCGGUUCCUUCUCUAGCCCUCGUGAUCCAACCUGGUCCCCUUGAUGUCGAACGUAUGUAUUGAUCGGAGAGACUAUAAUUUACUAAUCAGUAUUCGGUAAUAACCAAAUGGGAUCGGAUUUGCUGUAAUGCUAGCAGUAGCAGGCAUGUAAUGCUACUACCUGAUUGAUUAAAAAAUGUUAUAAGAAACUUCAUUUACCGAGUUAUCUAUCUCUUAUAGUUCCUUUCAGUUUCUCGUCGCAUAAUAUAACUUUAGUACCGAGUUACUUAUAUCGUAUGAUUUACAAUAUAUUAAGGAAUUUUAAGACGAUCAUCAUCCUCAAGCCCUCUUGAAACAAAAGCUACUGUGGGAUUCUUUUUUUGUAUUCUCUGGCAUGGCUUCUGAGGAAGAGUUGUAUUCAUUGGGUGUUUGAAGUGUGUUUCCCGGCCCAAACAUAUAACACAAGAGUCCAAUCUGUUUAUCCAACUGUCGUUGGUUACAAAUUUAAUUACAUCAUCAUCCACUUUGUCGGCACUUAAUCUUAUCAGGAUCAUGGAUAAAUGCCAUGUGAUCUGUGAACAUGGCUUCUUAACGGACAGAAACCCCACGUACGCUGUCUCCCAAAACUUGAUUCGGAUAAUACUGAAAUGAAAAAGCAAUUAUUAUGAUUGUUUUUUGAUUUUUCUCUUGUGUUGAACAUAUAUAGUCAGCCAAAAGACAUGAAGCGCAUCUGGUGUAGUGGUAUCAUAGUACCCUCCCACGGUACUGACCAGGGUUCGAUUCCCUGGAUGCGCAUUUUUUUGUGCAAGAGUGUUCCGGUUUGGUUUGCAUAGGUUUUUUGGGCUUGGUUAAGGAUUAGUAGUGGAAACUGGCUUAGAUGCAUUCAGAUUAUCCAUCUCUUGGCCUAGAUUCCCAGUUAGUCUCUUAAACUUAUGCUCCUCUCUUUCCAUUUUCUUUAACUGGAAGGGAACCAAUUAAGAUCAUGAGCUCUUGUCUCAUUAAUUAGAAGGAAGAGGUCUUGUUAAGCCGAAAGGUCUAGAGUUCUACAAGAACUAAUAUAUUCAGUAUUGGAGGCUACAAAAAUGGGGGGUACAAAACCACCUGGUCGUUGUUCGGCCUGCUUCUCAGGGAACUCUUCCACUGAACCAUAUAUGGUAGCACAUAACUUGCUGCUUGCCCACGCCUCUGCUUCUAGACUAUAUAAGCAAAAGUACAAGGUAAUAUUUCAAAGUCCGGUAAUUGAAUAUGAUAAAGCUUAUUGUUUAGCUGCAUGAUCUCAGUUGUUUUAUUGCACAGCAUACACACAACACAUAAAAAAAAGAGCAGGAGGUACAUAACCUAAUAAUAAUGAUAAUAAGCAACAAAGGAACAAAUCAUUUAUGUCAAACGAAGGAAAAAUCUCAGGGAUGUAACAAAAGCACCAUAUGUCACUGCUUCUGGAGGUGAAGAACCUUAACCCAAGCAGGCCUGGCAGUGAUCUUCUUGAUCCACUCCUUAACCUUAGGGCGAGACUCAAAGAGCUUCUUGGAGUCGGUACCCAUCAAGUAAUAGAUGAUUGGGAGGUGGUGAAGAUCAGCCAGAGUGAAGCAAUCACCAGCCAAGAAGGGUGAUUUGGAGAGCCUGGCCUCGUAGAUAUCCAAGACCUUCACCAACUUAGCUUCGAGGUCUUCCACAGCGGCAGGGUCAGUGGUCAUGCCAAGCAUGCCUUUGAAGACACGCUCGAAGGCUAGCUUAGAGGCGAUAGGGUCAAACUGUUGACCUUCAACUUGAAGCCAGACCUUUGUGGUGGCCUUGAGUUUCUUGCAGCCUUGGCAGAGAAGCUUCUCGCCUUUGUCGCUGUACUCCUCCGCUAUGUACUCUGUGAUGGCUCUUGACUCUGAAAAACAAAAAUGAAUUCAUGUGUAUCAUUGAUACUUAACCAACACGUAAUGAAAACAGAUUAAGAAAAAAAAGGAACUAACCGAAAAGCGUCAGAUCACCGUCUAGGAGAGCAGGGAUUUGACCGAAGGGCUAAAAAAAAGAAAAAGGAAAGAGCAGAGUGGUCAGAUAUGUGAAUGUGAUGAUGAAAACCAAAUUAACCAAAGCUGUGUAGAGAGUUAUUACGUACGUUGAGGGAGAUGAGAGGCUCCUGCUUGUGAGCACCGGCUUUCAUGUCGACGGGGACUAUCUCGAAAUCGAGGCCCUUCUCGUAAAGAGUAGCCAGAACGCGCAUUGUGGCCGUUGAUAUUGGAAGUCCGUGUACUUUGAUGCCGCCGCCCAUGCUUAUAAGCUUUUAAUUGGAUCUGAAGGGGUGAAUGGUGGUGCAUGGUGUUUUAUAGGUGGAGGAGGAGGCAAGGCAAGAGAAGAAUAAGUCGUUGUUGCCAUUCUUUUCGUUUGCACAAACUUCUCACCACCACAUCACCACGUCUCCUCUUCCUCCUCCUUCUCCCACUUUCUCUCUGUUUAUUUGUAACCUCUAUUUUUUUUUUUUAUCGUUUUAACCCAUUUGGUUUUGUAACUACAGAUUCAUAUACAUACAUAAAAUAAAUAAAGAAGUUAACGUUGGUUAUGCCCCCAUGCAUGUUUAAGAAAAGUAAUUUAAUAUUUCAUGCAUGGUAUCAGGUAUCAAUCCACCAAAUUUGUUUAACGAUGGUAACGUUUUAAAUUUGAUUUAUAUCCGAAUUUAACGUUUAGGAUGGUUAUACCUAAUAUCAGUCAACAAAAAGAUAAAAUAAAAUAGAUAGAUAGAUAUAUAUUAGCGCCUAUUCAAAUCACAAAACAACAAGUGUAGGUCGGUGUAUAUGGGGUACAUAAAAAAAAUAUGUGGUGGAGGCAUAUGUUGGGUAUAAUAAUUACACCAAUCAAAAGAGAGCAUAAUCUAACGAGGACCAUCCACGUAAUAAAAAAAUAUCGCAUUCAUUCCUUACUCUUUCAGUUGUACUUGUAUACAAACUCCUUUCUAAAUUUUAUAAUCGGGAUCGAUCUCUCUUUCUCUGAAACAUUUUGGAAACUUCUAGGUAAGGCUUCUUCAUUCCAAAGCAAGACCACAAUUUUUCUUCAUGGCCACCGGAGAGGAGAAACCUGUUAUGGUCGUCGGUAUCGACGAAAGCGAGCAGAGCACUUACGCCUUGGAGUGGACCCUCGAUCGUUUCUUCACUCCCUACGCUCCUAAUUUUCCUUUCAAGCUCUUCAUCGUCCACGCCAAACCUAACGCCGUCUCUGCCGUUGGUCUUGCUGGUCCCGGUACCCUCUUUUGAUUGACUAGCUAGGAACUGUCUUCUUCUAUCUAGGUUUCUCUGUUUCAGAUAUAUAUCAUUUGCGGUUUCUUUUUUCUUUUUAGGAGCUGCGG
This 7761-nucleotide long non-coding RNA is filed under the name Brassica napus (rape). Its description in RNAcentral is "long non-coding RNA (BNAP_LNC014739)". The stretch from base 5158 to 5228 matches the Rfam family "tRNA". Lineage: Eukaryota; Viridiplantae; Streptophyta; Magnoliopsida; Brassicales; Brassicaceae. The record is from RNAcentral.